UUAGAAGCAGCCACCAUUUAAAGAAAGCGUAAUAGCUCACUGAUCGAGUCGUCCUGCGCGGAAGAUGUAACGGGGCUCAAGCCAGUUACCGAAGCUGCGGAUGCACGAGCAAUCGUGCGUGGUAGGAGAGCGUUCUGUAAGCCUGUGAAGGUGUCUGGUGACGGAUGCUGGAGGUAUCAGAAGUGCGAAUGCUGACAUGAGUAGCGUUAAAGCGGGUGAAAAGCCCGCUCGCCGUAAGCGCAAGGUUUUCUACGCAACGUUCAUCGGCGUAGAGUGAGUCGGCCCCUAAGGCGAGGCAGAGAUGCGUAGCUGAUGGGAAACAGGUCAAUAUUCCUGUACCGCUCAAUAGUGCGAUGUGGGGACGAAGAAGGUUAGCUCAGCCAACUGUUGGAAUAGUUGGUUCAAGCCUGUAGUCGUGCCCGGUAGGCAAAUCCGCCGGGCUAAGAUGAGGGGUGAUAACGAGGCUGCUUGCAGCCGAAGUGAGUGAUACCCAGCUUCCAGGAAAAGCCACUAAGCUUCAGCUAUUGACGACCGUACCGCAAACCGACACUGGUGCGCGAGAUGAGUAUUCUAAGGCGCUUGAGAGAACUCAGGAGAAGGAACUCGGCAAAUUGAUACCGUAACUUCGGGAGAAGGUAUGCCCCAAGUAGGUGAACUUGAACAAAGGGAGCCCAAAGGGGUUGCAAAAAAUCGGUGGCUGCGACUGUUUAAUAAAAACACAGCACUCUGCAAACACGAAAGUGGACGUAUAGGGUGUGACGCCUGCCCGGUGCUGGAAGAUUAAGUGAUGGGGUGCAAGCUCUUGAUCGAAGUCCCAGUAAACGGCGGCCGUAACUAUAACGGUCCUAAGGUAGCGAAAUUCCUUGUCGGGUAAGUUCCGACCUGCACGAAUGG
This 894-nucleotide ribosomal RNA is filed under the name Extensimonas vulgaris. RNAcentral describes it as "partial 23S ribosomal RNA". It matches the Rfam family "Bacterial large subunit ribosomal RNA", at positions 1106 to 1999 of the family's 2925-position model. Lineage: Bacteria; Pseudomonadati; Pseudomonadota; Betaproteobacteria; Burkholderiales; Comamonadaceae. The record is from RNAcentral.